CAUGCCUUACACAUGCAAGUCGAACGGCAGCACGGGAGCAAUCCUGGUGGCGAGUGGCGAACGGGUGAGUAAUGUAUCGGAACGUACCAUUCAGUGGGGGAUAACGUAGCGAAAGUUACGCUAAUACCGCAUAUUCUGUGCGCAGGAAAGCAGGGGAUCGCAAGACCUUGCGCUGAUUGAGCGGCCGAUAUCAGAUUAGCUAGUUGGUGAGGUAAAGGCUCACCAAGGCGACGAUCUGUAGCGGGUCUGAGGGGAUGAUCCGCCACACUGGAACUGAGACACGGUCCAGACUCCUACGGGAGGCAGCAGUGGGGAAUUUUGGACAAUGGGGGCAACCCUGAUCCAGCCAUGCCGCGUGAGUGAAGAAGGCCUUCGGGUUGUAAAGCUCUUUCGGCCGGGAAGAAAUCGUAUGGGUUAAUACCCUGUGCGGAUGACGGUACCGGCAUAAGAAGCACCGGCUAACUACGUGCCAGCAGCCGCGGUAAUACGUAGGGUGCGAGCGUUAUCGGAAUUACUGGGCGUAAAGCGUGCGCAGGCGGUUUUGUAAGACAGGC
This 554-nucleotide ribosomal RNA is filed under the name uncultured Dechloromonas sp. RNAcentral's name for it is "bacterial SSU rRNA". It matches the Rfam family "Bacterial small subunit ribosomal RNA", at positions 43 to 593 of the family's 1533-position model. Lineage: Bacteria; Pseudomonadati; Pseudomonadota; Betaproteobacteria; Rhodocyclales; Azonexaceae. The record is from RNAcentral.